This 302-nucleotide ribosomal RNA is filed under the name Rathayibacter sp. AY1A7. RNAcentral's name for it is "bacterial LSU rRNA". It matches the Rfam family "Bacterial large subunit ribosomal RNA", at positions 2627 to 2925 of the family's 2925-position model. The record is from RNAcentral. Lineage: Bacteria; Bacillati; Actinomycetota; Actinomycetes; Micrococcales; Microbacteriaceae.
CAGUUCGGUCCCUAUCCGCUGCGCGCGCAGGAAAUUUGAGAAGAUCUAUCCCUAGUACGAGAGGACCGGGAUGGACGAACCUCUGGUGUGUCAGUUGUUCCGCCAGGAGCACCGCUGAUUAGCUACGUUCGGAACGGAUAACCGCUGAAAGCAUCUAAGCGGGAAGCCGGCUUCGAGAUGAGAUUUCCAUCCCUUCGGGGGAGAGGCUCCCAGCCAGACGACUGGGUUGAUAGGCCGGAUGUGGAAGACAGGACUAAAGACUGUCGGAGCUGACCGGUACUAAUAAGCCGAUAACUUGAUAA